This 253-nucleotide ribosomal RNA is filed under the name uncultured bacterium. Its description in RNAcentral is "partial 16S ribosomal RNA". It matches the Rfam family "Bacterial small subunit ribosomal RNA", at positions 524 to 776 of the family's 1533-position model. The record is from RNAcentral.
UACAGAGGUCCCAAGCGUUGUUCGGAUUCACUGGGCGUAAAGGGUGCGUAGGCGGUCGGGUAAGUCUGAUGUGAAAUCUCACAGCUUAACUGUGAAACUGCAUUGGAUACUAUCCGGCUCGAGGAAUGGAGGGGAGACUGGAAUACUUGGUGUAGCAGUGAAAUGCGUAGAGAUCGUAAGGAAGACCAGUGGCGAAGGCGGGUCUCUGGACAGUUCCUGACACUGAGGCACGAAGGCCAGGGGAGCAAACGGG